Prunus persica (peach) is the source of this 442-nucleotide long non-coding RNA. RefSeq lists it as uncharacterized. The record is from RefSeq and is a predicted model, not a curated record. Lineage: Eukaryota; Viridiplantae; Streptophyta; Magnoliopsida; Rosales; Rosaceae. The transcript is spliced from 4 exons.
CCGUUAAGAGUCCAUAUGAAAUUAUUUUAACUUCUAAAUUGCAAUCCUAUUCCCAUAAGGAAACUCGCCAGAUGGCUUCUCGGCACGGCACGCCUCGCAAUUUCGGCUCCGGGCGGAUGGGUUCGCGAUCAGGUCAGAAAACGUGAUCAAACCAAACAUUUGAGGCUGGGAAUUGCGCAGUUGGAAAACUUAGUUUUGAGAAUUGAAUGAACUUCACUCACACCACAAUAAAGGAGCGACCCCAGUAAUCAGGAUGAUAUGUAACAUGGUACCAAGCUGAUGCUUUUGCUGCUUCUACAUCAUUGAUAUCAGGCUUCAUAUCCGACUGCAUUCCCAGCUUCUCAUCAAACCAGGGUCAUAAAACUUCAUAGCAACUUCCAUGGUGAAGGAUUUAAUUGAGCCCGAGUUUGAAGGUGAAUCUGAUGCAAGCUCAACAUGUUUC